This 23-nucleotide microRNA is filed under the name Nematostella vectensis (starlet sea anemone). RNAcentral describes it as "nve-miR-9434". The record is from miRBase by way of RNAcentral. Lineage: Eukaryota; Metazoa; Cnidaria; Anthozoa; Actiniaria; Edwardsiidae.
UCUGACAGGAAUUCUGGCUUCUG